RNAcentral lists this long non-coding RNA (1625 nucleotides) under Anas platyrhynchos platyrhynchos (common mallard). Its description in RNAcentral is "lncRNA (ENSAPLG00000022555.1)". Lineage: Eukaryota; Metazoa; Chordata; Aves; Anseriformes; Anatidae. The record is from RNAcentral.
GAAAAGGUUGUUGGUUAAACAUCACGAAUAAAAGUCAUAAAGAGGGUGAGAUCUUGGCAGAAAAAGUUUGAUCAUAGUGAUAACCAACAAAUUAUGGGUGUAAAUCAGAUGUGGGAAUUAUCUCUAAAACACUGCAGAGGAUAUCAUUAGGUCAGUGUUUCUUCUUAUGCAUCUCUCUGCUGGAAACUAAUGUCAGCCUUCCCUGCUAACGUACAUUUUAACAGCGGUGAGCAAAACCCUCCAGAAAAGAUCAAAAGAUCUCUUCCUGAAAUAAAACCUUGUGGCUUUUUUAGUUUUGACUUUACAAGGGCUUACAGGACUUCCAUGAGCUGGUUUGGGAGGAUCCUGCAGCAGCUUCUCACCAGCUCAGGAAUGGACAGAGAUGGGAUUGGCCAUGAAGAGGUUUGCCUCUAUCUGAUUUUGACUACUCUGCACCACCUUCUGACAGUCUUGGAAGACCAAAACCAAGAUAGAAUCAACACUCCAUGAGUAUUGUACUUACGGGAGGUUUCAGUAAGAUAAACACUUCACAGAUAACUAAAGUUCUAGGGCUUCAGGCCAAGAUAUUUAUUGACUUAGAAGGUACUUAUCUCUUAGUUCACUCCCAUGUACAAAAAAUAAUGAUAGUAAUUACGUUAAAAAACAGAUCACUUUUUAAAUUAUUUAAAAGUGCUCUUCCAGAGUUUAACAGGAUAAUAAUUGCUCCAGCAGCUUUUAUGACCUGUGGGGAAAAAAUUAGCCAGAGGGAAAAGGAAGAUCCCAACCUGCUGUUUGUAUUUCAUUCUUAUUUAUUUAUUUAUUUUUAGCAUGGUAUCUUCAUUUGAAAUACACCAGACAUUUGGGGAGAUGGCCCAAAUGAGUACAAAUUAUUUCUGAGUAUAAGGAAGAUACAAGCUCCUUUAAAAUGAUAAUUGUAUUAAAAUACCCAGAAGAGAGAGAGAUUAGAGAAAUAUCAGACUGUGUACCUAGAUAAAAUUAAGACGUAACUAAAGUUUGUGGCAAUCAGAAUCUCACCAUCUCAGAGAAAUACAGACACCUGAAAAUGUCGUCCCCCCCUCCUGCCCCCCAAUUCCAAAAUAGAACAAAAUAUCACAGUAUGCAAAUUCUUAUGUUAUAUUUUAUGCAUUAUUAAAAUAUUUCAUACUUUUCUCAGCAUUGAUGAGACUACACCUGCGUCCGGUUCUGGACCCUGCAGUACAUGAGAGACAUGGAAAGAGUCGGGCCACAAAAAUGAUUGAAGGGACUGGAGCACCUCUCCUAUGAGGAGGGGCUGAGAGAUCCAGGACUGUUCAGCCUUGAGAAGAGGAGGCUCAGUAGUGAUCUUAUCAAUAUUUUUAAAUACAUGAAGGGAGGGUGCAAAGAAGAUGGAGCUGGGCACAAACUGUAGCACAAGAGGUUCUGCCUAAACAUCAGGAAGCAAGAGAAGCUGUGAGAGUCUCUUCCUUGAAGAUAUAGGAAAGCUUCCUGGACAUGAUCCUGGGCACUCUGCUUGAGCACAGGUUGGAUCAGACAACCUCCAGAGAUCUCUUUCAAUCUUAACCAUUCUUUGAUUCUAAUUUUUCUUUAGCUGCCCCAUAUUGCCAAUGUAAAAUAAAUCUUGUAACAAAGACCGUGUUUGCUUGUCU